AUGAAUUUGGUGACUAUUGCCCUUUUUCUAUGUGUUGGUGUUCUAUAUGACCGACAUAAGACUCGACUUGUUAGAUAUUAUGGAGGUUUAGUGAGCACCAUGCCGAAUUUCUCUACCAUUUUCUUCUUUUUCACUUUAGCCAAUAUGAGUUUACCCGGCACUAGCAGCUUUAUCGGGGAAUUUCUAAUCUUAGUAGGAGCUUUCCAAAGAAAUAGCUUAGUAGCCACAUUAGCUGCGCUUGGGAUGAUUUUAGGCGCGGCGUAUUCCCUUUGGCUAUAUAAUCGUGUGGUUUCUGGAAAUUUAAAACCCGAUUUCCUCUAUAAAUUCUCCGAUCUAAAUGGCAGAGAAGUUUCCAUAUUUCUACCUUUUCUUGUUGGAGUGGCGACCGUCCGUUGA
This 396-nucleotide ribosomal RNA is filed under the name Triticum aestivum (bread wheat). RNAcentral describes it as "partial small subunit ribosomal RNA". The record is from RNAcentral. Lineage: Eukaryota; Viridiplantae; Streptophyta; Magnoliopsida; Poales; Poaceae.